CUAAUUGACUUUUAUUUUGCAAAAAUUGGGAGAUAUCUUCUCUCUUGCGCUUGAGCUUUACUUCAUGAAUUCUCUAUGACGCCUCGCCGUCGUUCGCUUCAUGACGGCGCCGUGUCACUCGUGCGUCGGUCUCGCCUCCUCCUCCCUCCGGUUUCCACCUUGCCGCUUAGUCCAGCACGCAACAGAUGCAUCGCCACAACUUGCAGCAGACAGCAGUAAACCAACAUCGCAUCUGCGCCGCCAAGCCCGUGAUCGCACCGCCCCCCAUCCCCAUUACUCUCAAUCUCAACUAUGUGCCGUCUUAUAGCCUCAGACGCAUCGCUCCUUCGGCUACCUAGUUGCAAUAUUGUAGAUGCGUAUGAUCCAUUGGAUCCCAAUGGGAACAUCACCAUUAGAUGGGAUGUUUAGCAAGAAAACGACGAUUCUUCAAAAGAUGCGACAUUGCUAAGGGGCGAAGCUCAUUAAAGAGUGACCACAUCCCGACCAUUGUAGAGCUUCAACGUUGAAUCUGCAUGAUAUUCAAUGUUAGAAUACAUAUGUAUUACAAUUGUGCUGCAGAUGUAUUACAAUUGGAUAUGGAUAUGGAUUGGGAGUAUUUGAAGAGAUGGUUGCAUUACUUUUUAUUGGGGAGAGCAAGAGACGCAUAGGGUUUCUGAAAAUUUUAAACAUUUUUUGGGUUGGGCUGGCACUUUUGCGGCUGACUUGUUUUUGCUUUUGUUUAUUUGAUUUAUUACUUUUUGUAGUGUGAGUGUAUUUAAAUUUCGGCUAACUUGGAUAUAGUUUUGCUGCAAUAAAUAAGUCUUCACUACAUGAUUUAGUACCAA
Salvia miltiorrhiza (redroot sage) is the source of this 824-nucleotide long non-coding RNA. RefSeq lists it as uncharacterized. The transcript has 4 exons. NCBI's taxonomy places the organism in Eukaryota, Viridiplantae, Streptophyta, Magnoliopsida, Lamiales, Lamiaceae. The record is from RefSeq and is a predicted model, not a curated record.